Transfer RNA from Noviherbaspirillum sp. Root189, 74 nucleotides. It matches the Rfam family "tRNA". From Rfam's summary of the family: Transfer RNA (tRNA) molecules are approximately 80 nucleotides in length. Their secondary structure includes four short double-helical elements and three loops (D, anti-codon, and T loops). NCBI's taxonomy places the organism in Bacteria, Pseudomonadati, Pseudomonadota, Betaproteobacteria, Burkholderiales, Oxalobacteraceae. The record is from Rfam.
GGGUCUGUAGCUCAGCUGGUUAGAGCACCGUGUUGAUAACGCGGGGGUCGUUGGUUCGAGCCCAACUAGACCCA